This is a non-coding RNA of Podarcis lilfordi (Lilford's wall lizard), 642 nucleotides long. The record is from the annotation of a GenBank genome assembly. Lineage: Eukaryota; Metazoa; Chordata; Lepidosauria; Squamata; Lacertidae.
UGGAAGGGAAAGCAGGAGAGCUGAACCAGCUGUUAAAUGAAGCAAAAUCAAUGCAGGAGAAGGCUGUUGCUUUUCAGCAAGAGAGAGAUAAAGUCAUGUUAGCACUGAAGCAGAAACAAAUGGAGACUACUGCCCUACAGAAUGAGGUAUGCAAGAGUUACCAGUCUUUGGGGGCUUGUGGGCAUAUUUGCAAACUAAACAAACUCUCAGGGAUGUCACACCCACCCCUAAUCCAAGUACACACAGCAACCUGGUCUGUAGGUUGCAAUAUAAUGCUCCUUGCAGGUUUAUUUGAGGGUGGGGAGGCAGGGGACUCUGGGCACCAGGGAAAGUCUCUGUAGAAACAUGUGGCACCAUCGAAGGAUGAAAAUUGAGUGAAUGAAAGAGUGGGUAGCUGAGGGUGAAUAAGAAAAGCUGAAGCAAUGUGCCCUCAAUUAAUUACACAGAUACAGCAUUUACGUGAUAAGGAGCAGCGUCUGAAUCAAGAAUUGGAGAGAUUGCGCAAUCACCUUUUAGAAAGGGAAGACACUUCCACACGGGAAGCUUUAGCAGCUGAGGAUCGGGAAUCUAAGCUUAAAAAGAAAGUCCAGGUUUUGGAAGAAAAGCUGCAGUUUUCAUCAACUGCAGUGGAGAAUGCCAGGU